RNAcentral lists this ribosomal RNA (465 nucleotides) under uncultured bacterium. RNAcentral's name for it is "partial 16S ribosomal RNA". It matches the Rfam family "Bacterial small subunit ribosomal RNA", at positions 28 to 507 of the family's 1533-position model. The record is from RNAcentral.
GACGAACGCUGGCGGCGUGCUUAACACAUGCAAGUCGAACGGAAAGGCCCUGCUUGCAGGGUACUCGAGUGGCGAACGGGCGAGUAACACGUGGGUGAUCUGCCUUGCUCUUCGGGUUAAGCCUGGGAAACUGGGCCUAAUACCUGAUAGGAGCUAUUUUUAGUGUGAUGGUUGGAAAGUUUUGUCGGUGUUGGAUGAGCUGGCGGCCUAUCAGCUUGUUGGUGGGGUAAUGGCCUACCAAAGCGGCGACGGGUAGCCGGCCUGCGAGGGUGAACCGCCACAUUGGCACUGAGAGACGGCCCAGACACCUACGGGAGGGAGAAGGGGGGAAGAUUGAACAAGGGGCGCAAGGCUGAUGCAGCGACGCCGCGGGGGGGAUAACGGCCUUCGUGUUGUAGAAGAAAUGCGCUAGGGACGAAGCAUGUUGUGACGGUACCUAGAUAAGAAGCACCGGCUAACUACGUG